This 492-nucleotide long non-coding RNA is filed under the name Vigna radiata. RNAcentral describes it as "long non-coding RNA (VRAD_LNC012842)". Lineage: Eukaryota; Viridiplantae; Streptophyta; Magnoliopsida; Fabales; Fabaceae. The record is from RNAcentral.
UUUAGCUUCUUUAUACUCCUGCAUUACCAAUUUCCUCACUUGUUUUAGUGAUCGUUCAGUCUCAAUGUAGAACCUUUCGGUCAUCUGUAGGGUCGUUCGGUCUUCAUGCAUUUGUUCAGUUAUUUUAAUGUUUUCAAUUAAGUUAGGUUGUAUUUAAUUUCUAGUUUUGUUUUAAUUUAAUUUUCUUUGCAAGAACACUUUCAACCCCCCCCCCAUAUGUGUUAGACCUAAGACUCGAACCGCAUUUGGUCCUUGAGAAUCAACCUAGGAGUCAUUUCCUAGCUAUACUGCAUUUCUUAUAUGCAAUUAAAUUUGUAUGGGCCGCGACACCCAUCAAAUUUUGGCGCCGUUGUCGGGGACCAACGGUUCGGUUUUAGGUCUUUUGUUGUGUUAGUGUGUGUUGUGUUUUGUCUCGUGUUGUGAGUGUGUUGUUCCGUUUUGUAUGUCGUGUCAUGUGUGUUGCAUUUAGGUAGCUUUAGUUGCAUAUUUUCN